GACGAACGCUGGCGGCGUGCUUAACACAUGCAAGUCGAACGGAAAGGCCCUGCUUUUGUGGGGUGCUCGAGUGGCGAACGGGUUAGUAACACGUGAGUAACCUGCCCUUGACUUUGGGAUAACUUCAGGAAACUGGGGCUAAUACCGGAUAGGAGUUCCUGCUGCAUGGUGGGGGUUGGAAAGUUUCGGCGGUUGGGGAUGGACUCGCGGCUUAUCAGCUUGUUGGUGGGGUAGUGGCUUACCAAGGCUUUGACGGGUAGCCGGCCUGAGAGGGUGACCGGCCACAUUGGGACUGAGAUACGGCCCAGACUCCUACGGGAGGCAGCAGUGGGGAAUAUUGCACAAUGGGCGGAAGCCUGAUGCAGCAACGCCGCGUGCGGGAUGACGGCCUUCGGGUUGUAAACCGCUUUCGCCUGUGACGAAGCGUGAGUGACGGUAAUGGGUAAAGAAGCACCGGCUAACUACGUG
Molecule: ribosomal RNA, 468 nt
Filed under: uncultured bacterium
Lineage: Bacteria
Description: partial 16S ribosomal RNA
Rfam family: Bacterial small subunit ribosomal RNA
Source: RNAcentral